CGCUGUACAGACAAGGACAGUGCAAAGGACCUUAUUUCCGAUACUCAGUCAACCUGAAGAUCACCUCAACAUCAAACAGUUGUGCAAUGAUAAAAACAUGGUGUAAAAUAGGUCGGUACCCAUGGAUAUUAAUGAAUGGACAUUCCAAUCAUCUGGUCUGAUUCCCAACUGGAUACACCGUUAAGCCUAAUUAUGUUUGAUCCAUUUCAAGUAUUUGAGGUCACCCACUAUCCAUGUGCUGUGCUAUACAUCAAGGUCAUUUGUGGAUACAACAUCACCAAAGGAUGGGCAGGGGACCUCAUGGACACACCGGAUCCGUAUGUCACACUCUAUAUCAAGACGGCGCCCAAUUGUUUACAGAAAACAACCAUCAAAGAUAAUGACAUCGACCCUGUUUGGAACGAGACAUUCACCUUUUAUAUUGAUCCCAGAGAACGCAGCAAUACACUAGUGAUAUCACUGAUGGAUUCUAACUACCUCAUGGAUGAACCUUUGGGGUCACAGGUCAUCGAUCUCAAAGAACUACCGUAUCAAGGAAAAGAAAAAUAUUCACUUGAGUUUUUUGGGACAUCAGUGGUUGAAUUUGAGCUAUGGGCAGACAUGAACUGUGAACCACAGUUACGGUUUAGUCUCACACUGAGUGAGGAGGAGCGAGCAUUUGUGGAAAAGAGAAAGAUGCGAAUAUUUGACACCAUGAAGAAAUAUCUUGGAGAGGAUGCACCAGUUUCCAUACAAGAGGUGCCAGUUAUAGGUGUGAUAGGGUCCGGUGGAGGAUUCCGAGCGAUGACUGCGUACAGUGGGGUGUUCAGUGCCCUAGUCGACACAAACAUACUGGAGAUGGUCACGUAUGCUGGGGGAUUGUCUGGAUCAGCAUGGUACCUAUCUCAGCUAUACACCCACCCUGAAUGGCCACAGAGGUCCCCCCUUGCCCUCCAGGAGGAGUUGAAGAGUAAUAUUGAUUCAAGCCCUUUUUACCUGUUAGGCCCCAAUAGUAUGUAUUCGUAUGUCUCUCGGAUCAUGGAGAAGCGUCGCCAGGGACAGCCUGUCAGCUUCACUGACUUCUUCGGACAUCUUGUCGGGGAGACUCUUCUCAAAAAUCGGCAAAAUGCCAAAUUGUCGGACCAAAAGGAAAAGAUCCAAAAUGCUGACAUCCCUAUGCCUCUGUACACUUGUCUUCACGUCAAAAAGUCUGUCUCUGCUAUGGUCUUCCAUGAAUGGAUGGAGUUUACCCCCUUUGAAAUUGGAUUACCUAAGUAUGGCACAUUCAUGAAGUCAGAAAACUUUGGGAGUAAAUUCUUCAUGGGUCAGUUGGUGAAGAAGUACCCAGAGCAACCUCUACACUUCCUACAGGGUGUUUGGGGGAGUGCCUUCUGUAUCCAAUUCAAGCGCCUCCUCAAGGAUGAUAAACGCACGGACGAGUGUCGCAUUAUACAGGAAGAACGGGAAGAGCUUGAGAGAGAACUUCUUCAAGAGCUUGACACACAAACAGAUGAGGAAAGUGAAUCAAGUGAGACAGAGGCAGAGGAAGAGGAAAGGAAACGCAAACAGAUAGAGCAGAAAGGUCGCCGGAAGAGUUCUGUGGCCAGUGUUAAUAGCAGGAGAGGGUCCACAGCCAGUAUUACUAGUAUGAAGGACACAGAUAAUAACAAGGGCUUUAUCAGGAGCAUGUUUGGCAAGGUGUUGGAUAGCACCGGCAACUACCUACUGGGUUCCAUCGAGGGGCGGGCUGCCAAAGUACACAGCUUUAUGAGGGGUUUGUCCCUGUACAAGGUCUACCCAUUCUCUCCAUUCACUUCCAUAGACGAAGGGACAGAAGGUAUGGACCAGUUUGAUGGGAUAUUUGAGAUGUAUCCCACCAACAUGAAAAAGCUGUAUGUGGUAGACGGUGGACUGACAUUCAACUCACCGUUCCCCCUCCUGCUUCGCCCUCAGCGACAAGUUGAUCUUCUUCUGUCCUUCGACUUUAGUGCCAGGCAAAGUGACAGCACACCACCCUUUAAGGAGAUCAAGCUUGCAGAGAAAUGGGCACGAUUAAACAAUGUGCCAUUCCCCGAAAUUGACCUAAAACGUUUUGACCGUGAAGGAAUGAAGGAGUGCUAUGUGUUCCAGAACCCCAAUGAUCCUCGCUGUCCCAUUGUGCUCCAUUUUGUGUUGGCCAACAUCACCUUUAGGGAUGAGAAAAUGCCAGGUGUUCCUCGAACUACAGAGGAGGAAAAGGAGUUUGCCGACUUUGAGAUCUUUGAUGAUCCUGAGAGACCCUAUUCAACAUUUAACUUUAAAUAUACUCACCAAGCCUUUGAUCGUUUAACAAAGCUGACCGAGUUCAAUACCAGACUUCAUAAAGACCUUAUCAUUGAAAAAAUUAAGGAAUGUGUUAAAAAGCACAGGAACAAUGGUUCAGUGACACGGAGACCAAUCAAACUGAAGGACAUCAAAAAACUCCGCCUCCAAAAGAUUGAGGAGGACAGGUUAAAGGAAUUUGUACAGUCCUUUGACGAUGGAGAUGUGCCAAUAGUGUGAUAGUUGUUGGUACAAAUCUUCAGUUUCCUGCCAUUCGAAAUGGUAGCACCGUCUAGGACCAAUGUAACACACAAAGUUCAAGGUCAAAGAUGAUUCGUGCAUUGUAGUACAUCCUACAUUUGAUAUUGAUAUUGAUCAAGGAUGCUCAACAUUCCAGGCCAUUUAUGCCAUUCCAGGGGCGACUUGUCAUAAAUCAAGUCGUCUCUCCUACAACACGGAAUCAGGGUGCAUACAACUGUACUAGUCAAACAUCAAGUUUCUCUAGGAGGCACUGAAAAGGACAUGGUUAAGACAUGAAGGAAACAUUUAAAUUUACAAUGAUGAUGGUUGUGUGACAUUUGGUGAGUGUGCUGGAGUUAAGUGUGGGCUAGUUACAGACAUGGUAUCACACAGGAUUCUACUACUAGGUCAGCCAAAACGACCAGAUACUGUUAAUUACCUCCAUCAUUUCUGCUCAUACUGAUUCAGGUGGUAUUUUUUUUAAUGGCUAGCUGAUGAGGAUUUCAACCCAUGAAGGGAAUAAUAACAGAGAUAACUGGGUUUUUUAAAUCAAUUGCCAUAUGUUUGAAUUUUGAGAUAAACUUUCCUAAAGAAUUAGUGAGGAAAUGUAAGCAAAACAGAAGUGAUUUACCCGGUAAGGUAGCUGGCCAAGGUAAAUCUAUAGUCAACAAACUAAGGGAGUAUGUGAGAUGUGAACAGUGUUAUGGAAUAUAAUAUUCAAGAUGGAACAGUCUGCAUUCCUACAAAAGUGACAACUGGACUUUCUUUUACAGUGAAACAAUCUAAAACAGUGACAAUUUGAAUGUUGUUGUAAAUAGAACUGUCUACAACCCUGAUAUCAGCACGGUUAUCAUAGGUGCAACAGUCUAUAACUGCAUGUGACAACUGGAAUGUUAUCAUUAGUGGAACCGACUACAACCCUGAUAUCAUCACUGUUAUCAUAGGUGCAACAGUCUAUAACUUCAUGUGACAACUGGAAUGUUAUCAUAAGUGGAACCGACUACAACCCUGAUAUCAGCACUUUAAUCGUAGGUCCAACUACUAACUACAACUGUGUUAUCAGGACUGAUGUCAUGAACAGAAUAGUUUACAUCUGUGAUACCAUGACAAUAUCUAUUACGGUAAACAUUAUUAAUGCAUUAAACCAUUUUGUUACACUUAAGAAUGUAUAAAAUGUCAU
RNAcentral lists this unclassified non-coding RNA (3700 nucleotides) under Mizuhopecten yessoensis (Yesso scallop). Its description in RNAcentral is "cytosolic phospholipase A2-like, transcript variant X1". Lineage: Eukaryota; Metazoa; Mollusca; Bivalvia; Pectinida; Pectinidae. The record is from RNAcentral.